Long non-coding RNA from Mesocricetus auratus (golden hamster), 4476 nucleotides. RefSeq lists it as uncharacterized. NCBI's taxonomy places the organism in Eukaryota, Metazoa, Chordata, Mammalia, Rodentia, Cricetidae. The transcript is spliced from 5 exons. The record is from RefSeq and is a predicted model, not a curated record.
UAUGAGAGAGACCCAAGGUUUAUUUAAAUAAAAUAGCCCUAAAUAGACCCAAGGUCUAGUUAUACAAAAUAGUCCUAAACUUUAUUGUAUAUCCCUCUUUAAGGUGGUCCACUGUAUCAAAGCUACAGAGAUACAGUAGAAAAAAACCAUUUUCUGGACCAGAAGGCAUGGAGAAAAUCGAGGAAGGAAGACCAUUAGCUCUAGUUCAGAAUGCACUAGAAAGGGAAGGGAACCACUUAACAAAUGGGAUGAAUUCUGGAACCUCAACCCUGGAGGAAACAGAGAUACAGCAGAGCAAAGCAACAAGAUGAUUAAUGAAAGGGGUAAACUAAACUCAAAGGCUUCACUUCUAAUAAUGUAGAAAUAAAGGGACCAGACCCUCACUCAGUCCCCUGCUUUAGCAGCCAUGACAGGCUACAGAAAAGACAGGGCUGAGUGUAAUAAUAUUUGUCAUUGGGAGUUGUUUGAUUGCUUUGUUUAUUUAUCAGGAUAAUAGUAGUAGGUUUUCUCCUGGGGCACGUGACCUAACUAUUCCUAGGUUCUUUUUCAUGUUAGCAUGUCAAGCAUGGUUUCCAUCUUGGGCAGUGGACUUUAAAUCCAAUAAAAAAUGUGUUUGGCCACUCCCUUAACAUUUUGUCACUAUUGUGCCAGUCGGUAUAUCUUGCAGGCAGGUCACUCUUGUAGGUCCAGUGGUUCAGAGUUUACUGAUAAUUACUUGUCUCCUCUGGUAGUGUGCCUGAUACCUUCUAGCACAUGUAGAAAUAAAGUGAAGCUGGGCUAUCAGCUCCAUUUCUCUGUGUUUGAUCACAUGACUAGGUGGUGUCUUCAGCAAUAGGGUCUUCCCAUCUGAAUUUGGAAGGUGACGUCGACAAUUAAUAAAUGAGACCUCGUGGAGCUUAAAAGCUUCUGUAUAGAAAGUGAUACUAUCAUUUGAGAAAAGCAGCAGCCUACAGAAUGGGGGAAAAGCCUGCCAAUUACAUAUCCGGCAGAGGAUUAGUACCUAGAAUGUACAAAGAACUAAAAAAAAAGCCCAAUUUAAAAAUGAGGUAUAGAACUAAACAGAAUUCUCAAAAGAUGAAAAGUGUUGAGAAACAGUUUUAAAAUGUUCAUCAUUCUUAGCCAUCAGAGAAAUGAAAAUUAAAACUAAUUUGAUAUUUCAUCUUCCCCCAGACAGAAAGACAGCUUAUGCAAGUGAGGAUUAGCGGUAAGGGGGGGGCACAUAAUCAUUUCUGAUGGGAGUGUAAAUUAUACAGACACUAUGGAAAUCAGUGUGGAGGUGCUUCGAAAAGCGGAGAUUUUAUUGACCACAAGACAUAGAUUUGCCACUCUUUGGCGUAUACUCAAAAGACUCUGCAUCCUACCACCAAGACACUUGUUCAUCCAUGUUCAUUGUGUCUCUUUUAUAAUAACCUGAAAAUGCAGCACUCGGGAGGCAGAGGCAGGCGAUCUCUUGAGUUUGAGUCCAGCCUGGUCUACAGAGAGAGUUCCAGGACAGCCUCCAAAACAAUACAGAGAAACCCUGUCUCGAAAAACCAAACAGCAAAACAAAACAAAACAAAAACAAGCAAACAAAACAAAACAAAAACCUGAAAAUGCAAACAGCUUAGUGUCUAUCAGCUGAUGAGUAGAUAAUAAAAAUGUGGUAAUUUACACGAUGGAAUAUUAUUCUACUGUUAGGAAAAAUGAAAUUACAAAAUUCUCUGGUAAAUGAAGUUAGAAGCAAUCACCCUGAGUGAGGAAACCCAGAUCCAGAAAGACAAACAUUGCAUGUUUUGUUUUGGUAUGUGGAUGUUAAUUUUUAAGCUUUGGUUAUUGGUACUUUUGUCCAAAUAACAACAGGUUAUAUGAGCUAAGAGACCGGCAGGAAGGAGGGGAAAUGCAAUCUGGUGCUUUAGAGAGGCCCCGGGAAACUAGACUGGGAGGGUCAGAUGGGGAGGAGACAGGAAGGUAGGGGAAGAAGGGAAUGUGGAGUGGGAUAAUUGACACCCAAGAGCUUUUGAAAAGUUGUGUGGAACCUGCUGCUGACGAAAUGUCCUCAAAUGUGAUGAGAGGUCACCAUGUACUCAGGAACGUAGUGCCCAAGUAUACGUCUUAUGCCAGGAAUGGGUAACCUCUUGCUGAGUCAUUGGUCAAAGGUUUCCCAUAGACACCACCGCAAUAAUUGCAGGCUACUGCCAAUGCCGUGAGGAUGGCGUUUUCACCUGAGCAGAGCUCUCUGAACAGAAGUGCUCGGGCUGCUGCAGGUGGCUGCAGCGGGGAGCUUUGUGUCCCUGUGUCCUGGCUCCUCCUGUCCCAUGGCUGCCGGCUGCCGACAGAAACACCCCUUCCGGCUCGGGCUGAUGGGGCUUGAAUUCAGUUCCGUGUCAGGAUGCUGGAAGAAGAGUGUUCAAAAGGAUCAAGGGAGUCAGAGUUACAGAUAAACAGAAGCAAGGAGAAAUCAAACGGAGUCUUGUGAUUUACGCUUCUGACUCUAUAAGAAGGUUGCAUGGACCUAAAUUCUACUAGAGAAAGAGGGCUGCUUAGAGAUCUCAGCCCCACUCCCAUCAACAGAUAUGUAGACGUGUCAGAACGUGGGAUUCAGACUGUAAAUGCAGAGACCGGAUUGUGGAGAACUGUCCCAGGCUGGCCGGCGUCUCGGAGAGGUCAACCCAAAGCUCUUCUCGUGCUCUGACCUCCUUCCGUCUAGUCCCACUUAAUUGUUGCCAGUGCUGAAAACAUUCUGCCUUAGAUAAAAGUAGUGUGUUUUCUAGAUGCGGUGCGCUUGGUUCAAGUCUGUGAUAAUCUUUAGUGUACUGUAACAUCUUCAACUGUAGCGUAAAGAAAGAAGAAGCAUUCAUCAUCUAAAAUCCUUCAAGCCUUCCCUCUGUGCCGCUGAGGAUGAGGGAGGCUGAGGUUACUGCCCACCUCUGCCUACAGCCCAACCCUCGCAGUCUAGGCAGAAGCAGCGCCUGGGAGGAGAAAGCUCGGCUCAACUUCAGUUUCUUUGAAUCCACGUCCCAAGCACUGACAGUGAGAUUUUUGGACUUUGAUUCUGCUGACCUCUGAAAUGUUUGGAUUAAUUUGCAUGCAGAUUUAAUUUUUAACUUUAAUUUCCUUCUGGGAAAAUCCAUGUAAGAAGGUAGUUAAUAUUCAAAUCCGGGACUUGGUAUGUUGCUGGCAUUUUUAAGAUUAGCAUAUUUUUAUGUUGUUAUUUUCAUCUCAGUGCACAGUGUGAUAGGGAAACAGAACGGCCAAGGGAUCUCCAGCUUGGUAGACAGGCUUUCAAGUAAUUUAUAUAAUUUUCUGAUCCAUUUUGGCAUCUUCUUUCUAAUAAAUGCCAGCCAGCAGGAACCCGGAGGAAUCAGGCCUGACUCUGGGGUGUAGCUGUUUGAAGGUGGGACUAGGAUUGUUUGAGUAGACUUUUAAUCAAGUCCCUCAUAGAUGGCAGCCAUACCACCAGUUAACGGUUAACCCUAAUGGAGUAAAGGGACAGAUCUCCACCGUGAUCCGCAGGGAACCUAGUUUUCUUUUUGUCACCAUUUCCCUUUUUCAGAAGGUGUCAGUCUGGCGGCAGAGCAGGCAGUACCGGGGAAUGCCACCAUGCUGCUCCUUCUCGCGGUCAGCGGUCAGGCUCUACCCCAUGCUGCUCCUGCCCCUGUUCCGGCUCUACCCCCUCACUGUGUGCCGAGAGUGUGCCUUUGCCCUAGUCCUAUGUUGUGAAGUAGCGAAGGAGUUGCUGUCUGUCUAGCUCCGCCCAUACAGGGAUGCCCAGCCCACCGUGGUCCGUGCAGCUGGGUCUGAAUGGAAGCCAGAAUUGCCGGAUUCACUAGUAUGCUGCCUUCUCACCCGUGGGCAGAAGAACGAGGCAUGGACUGCAGCUCCGUUUUCAGGUUUCCUCAGAAUAUAUGGGUUUCUAGAAACACAAGCCAACACUGGAUGUAAAUAGUGAAAGGAGCAUGAAGAUUUAGGGCAAUCACUUCACAUAAUGUAGGGCCUGGAGAGAUGGCUCAGCAGUUAGGACGCACUUGCUGAGGACAGGCCUCGAGUUCAGUUCCUGACACCUACAGCUCCAGGACACCUGAUGUCUCUGCGCGCAUUGCACUCACAGAGUAUCUUUUAGAGGAUCACACGCUGAACUUUUAAUGUCUUCCCCUCCUCCUUUUCUUCUACUUCUGACAUGACCUGAACAUAACUGUAAACUCUGGACCUGACGUCUUACUUCAUGCCCAACAGGUUUUCCACGUUCGAAAUUCACCUCACCGUUCUCUGCUGCCUUCCACCCCGGAACAAUCCCCGAAGAUGCAGAUGCUUAGCUUUUCUUACGGAGUGUCUUGUUUUCCUGUUGAUGUGCCUCGCAUUUAUCUAUGUUUCCUUUGUCUUCUCUCCAAUGAAAGGCAUUUCAAGGCAGGUCUAAUUUGUCUUUGUGGGCUGCCUUCAUAUUUGUCUGCCGACAUAGUGAGUUGGUCAAAAAGUGAAAUUGUAAAGCCAAUUACAUAA